RNAcentral lists this ribosomal RNA (233 nucleotides) under Klebsiella ornithinolytica CD1_MRS_4. RNAcentral's name for it is "Raoultella ornithinolytica CD1_MRS_4 partial 23S ribosomal RNA". It matches the Rfam family "Bacterial large subunit ribosomal RNA", at positions 10 to 243 of the family's 2925-position model. Lineage: Bacteria; Pseudomonadati; Pseudomonadota; Gammaproteobacteria; Enterobacterales; Enterobacteriaceae. The record is from RNAcentral.
ACUAAGCGUACACGGUGGAUGCCCUGGCAGUCAGAGGCGAUGAAGGACGUGCUAAUCUGCGAUAAGCGUCGGUAAGGUGAUAUGAACCGUUAUAACCGGCGAUUUCCGAAUGGGGAAACCCAGUGUGAUUCGUCACACUAUCGUUAAGUGAAUACAUAGCUUAACGAAGCGAACCGGGGGAACUGAAACAUCUAAGUACCCCGAGGAAAAGAAAUCAACCGAGAUUCCCCCAG